CGAGCGGACAGAAGGGAGCUUGCUCCCGGAUGUUAGCGGCGGACGGGUGAGUAACACGUGGGUAACCUGCCUGUAAGACUGGGAUAACUCCGGGAAACCGGAGCUAAUACCGGAUAGUUCCUUGAACCGCAUGGUUCAAGGAUGAAAGACGGUUUCGGCUGUCACUUACAGAUGGACCCGCGGCGCAUUAGCUAGUUGGUGGGGUAAUGGCUCACCAAGGCGACGAUGCGUAGCCGACCUGAGAGGGUGAUCGGCCACACUGGGACUGAGACACGGCCCAGACUCCUACGGGAGGCAGCAGUAGGGAAUCUUCCGCAAUGGACGAAAGUCUGACGGAGCAACGCCGCGUGAGUGAUGAAGGUUUUCGGAUCGUAAAGCUCUGUUGUUAGGGAAGAACAAGUGCGAGAGUAACUGCUCGCACCUUGACGGUACCUAACCAGAAAGCCACGGCUAACUACGUGCCAGCAGCCGCGGUAAUACGUAGGUGGCAAGCGUUGUCCGGAAUUAUUGGGCGUAAAGGGCUCGCAGGCGGUUUCUUAAGUCUGAUGUGAAAGCCCCCGGCUCAACCGGGGAGGGUCAUUGGAAACUGGGAAACUUGAG
Molecule: ribosomal RNA, 600 nt
Filed under: Bacillus sp. 63(2013)
Lineage: Bacteria; Bacillati; Bacillota; Bacilli; Caryophanales; Bacillaceae
Description: bacterial SSU rRNA
Rfam family: Bacterial small subunit ribosomal RNA
Source: RNAcentral